RNAcentral lists this long non-coding RNA (394 nucleotides) under Cyanistes caeruleus (blue tit). Its description in RNAcentral is "lncRNA (ENSCCEG00000004430.1)". The record is from RNAcentral. Lineage: Eukaryota; Metazoa; Chordata; Aves; Passeriformes; Paridae.
CAGAAAUAACAUGAAGGGUGGGAUUAAGGCACCUGAAACUUCAGGGAACCAGAGGCAGCAGACACGACACAUGAUGUUGCUAUGAACCUGAGCCCCAGAGUAAGAGCUGGAGGCCAUCUGAAGUUCAAGCAGAAAAUCUAAGAUCCUGUGGAGAAGAACUUAAAGGCAUCUAGUGCUGAGGCUUACAUUCCAACAAGAGACUGGGAGCUUAAAAAUUAGGAGCUGUGGCACCUUACACGAAGGAAAAAAUAGUGGGGAUGCAAAGUCCAGUGUUAAGAGGUACAUGCUGCUACAGCACCAGACUUUGGCGAUCAGGACAUGGUUUAUAUAGCUGAGAGGCUGAGGAACACUCAGGACAGUUACCUGCCAGCUGGGUCACUCUGCUCCCAAAUAC